CCUACGGGGGGCAGCAGUGAGGAAUAUUUGUCAAUGGACGAGAGUCUGAACCAGCCAAGUAGCGUGAAGGAUGACUGCCCUAUGGGUUGUAAACUUCUUUUAUAUGGGAAUAAAAUGUUCCACGUGUGGGAUUUUGUAUGUACAAUAUGAAUAAGGAUCGGCUAACUCCGUGCCAGCAGCCGCGUUAAUACGGAGGAUCCGAGCGUUAUCCGGAUUUAUUGGGUUUAAAGGGAGCGUAGGUGGAUUGUUAAGUCAGUUGUGAAAGUUUGCGGCUCAACCGUAAAAUUGCAGUUGAAACUGGCAGGCUUGAGUACAGUAGAGGUGGGCGGAAUUCGUGGUGUAGCGGUGAAAUGCUUAGAUAUCACGAAGAACUCCGAUUGCGAAGGCAGCUCACUGGACUGCAACUGACACUGAGGCUCGAAAGUGUGGGUAUCAAACAGGAUUAGAUACCCGAGUAGUC
Molecule: ribosomal RNA, 460 nt
Filed under: uncultured bacterium
Lineage: Bacteria
Description: partial 16S ribosomal RNA
Rfam family: Bacterial small subunit ribosomal RNA
Source: RNAcentral